Molecule: ribosomal RNA, 467 nt
Filed under: uncultured bacterium
Lineage: Bacteria
Description: bacterial SSU rRNA
Rfam family: Bacterial small subunit ribosomal RNA
Source: RNAcentral
GGGCCCGCACAAGCGGUGGAGCAUGUGGUUCAAUUCGAAGCAACGCGAAGAACCUUACCAGCCUUUGACAUGCCCCGUAUGGUCGUCAGAGAUGACUUCCUUCCCGCAAGGGGCGGGAGCACAGGUGCUGCAUGGCUGUCGUCAGCUCGUGUCGUGAGAUGUUGGGUUAAGUCCCGCAACGAGCGCAACCCUCGCCCUUAGUUGCCAUCAUUUAGUUGGGCACUCUAAGGGGACUGCCGGUGAUAAGCCGCGAGGAAGGUGGGGAUGACGUCAAGUCCUCAUGGCCCUUACAGGCUGGGCUACACACGUGCUACAAUGGCGGUGACAGUGGGAUGCAAUGGAGCAAUCCUGCGCAAAUCUCAAAAAGCCGUCUCAGUUCGGAUUGUGCUCUGCAACUCGAGCACAUGAAGUUGGAAUCGCUAGUAAUCGCAGAUCAGCACGCUGCGGUGAAUACGUUCCCGGGCCUU